GAGAAUUUUUCACAAUGGGCGCAAGCCUGAUGGAGCGACGCCGCGUGGGGGAUGAAUGGCUUCGGCCCGUAAACCCCUGUCAUUUGCGAUCAAACCUUGCUAUUUAAAAGAUGGCGAGCUGAUAGUAGCGAAAGAGGAAGGGACGGCUAACUCUGUGCCAGCAGCCGCGGUAAUACAGAGGUCCCAAGCGUUGUUCGGAUUCACUGGGCGUAAAGGGGGCGUAGGUGGUGGGGUAAGUCGGAUGUGAAAUCUCGGAGCUCAACUCCGAAAUGGAAUUGGAAACUACCCUGCUAGAGGGUCGGAGGGGGGACUGUAAUUCUCGGUGUAGCAGGGAAAUGCGUAGAUAUCGAGAGGAACACCAGUGGCGAAGGCGAGUCCCUGGACGACUCCUGACACUGAGGCACGAAAGCUAGGGGAGCAAACA
Molecule: ribosomal RNA, 424 nt
Filed under: uncultured bacterium
Lineage: Bacteria
Description: bacterial SSU rRNA
Rfam family: Bacterial small subunit ribosomal RNA
Source: RNAcentral